Molecule: ribosomal RNA, 438 nt
Filed under: Corynebacterium tuberculostearicum
Lineage: Bacteria; Bacillati; Actinomycetota; Actinomycetes; Mycobacteriales; Corynebacteriaceae
Description: bacterial SSU rRNA
Rfam family: Bacterial small subunit ribosomal RNA
Source: RNAcentral
GAGCGCAACCCUUGUCUUAUGUUGCCAGCAUUUGGUUGGGGACUCAUGAGAGACUGCCGGGGUCAACUCGGAGGAAGGUGGGGAUGACGUCAAAUCAUCAUGCCCCUUAUGUCCAGGGCUUCACACAUGCUACAAUGGUCGGUACAACGCGCAGCGACACUGUGAGGUGGAGCGAAUCGCUGAAAGCCGGCCUUAGUUCGGAUUGGGGUCUGCAACUCGACCCCAUGAAGUCGGAGUCGCUAGUAAUCGCAGAUCAGCAAUGCUGCGGUGAAUACGUUCCCGGGCCUUGUACACACCGCCCGUCACGUCAUGAAAGUUGGUAACACCCGAAGCCGGUGGCCCAAACUUGUUAGGGAGCCGUCGAAGGUGGGAUCGGCGAUUGGGACGAAGUCGUAACAAGGUACCCGUACCGGAAGGUGCGGGUGGAUCACCUCCUUU